UCCGGCUUCCCGCCGGCAGUCUCCCGAGAGUCCCCGCCUUUACGCGCUGGCAACACGGGACAAGGGUUGCGCUCGUUGCGGGACUUAACCCAACAUCUCACGACACGAGCUGACGACAGCCAUGCAGCACCUGAACCGGAGGUCCCCGAAGGGAAGACCCCAUCUCUGGGGCUGUCCUCCGUUGUCUAGCCCAGGUAAGGUUCUGCGCGUUGCGUCGAAUUGAACCACAUGCUCCACCGCUUGUGCGGGCCCCCGUCAAUUUCUUUGAGUUUUAAUCUUGCGACCAUACUCCCCAGGCGGCACGUUUAACGCGUUAGCUUCGCCACGAACGGGGUCGAAUCCGCUCACAGCAAACGUGCACCGUUUACAGCUAGGACUAC
Molecule: unclassified non-coding RNA, 380 nt
Filed under: uncultured bacterium
Lineage: Bacteria
Description: contains 16S-23S intergenic spacer region
Source: RNAcentral